Molecule: transfer RNA, 79 nt
Filed under: Perkinsus olseni
Lineage: Eukaryota; Perkinsozoa; Perkinsida; Perkinsidae
Rfam family: tRNA
About the family: Transfer RNA (tRNA) molecules are approximately 80 nucleotides in length. Their secondary structure includes four short double-helical elements and three loops (D, anti-codon, and T loops).
Source: Rfam by way of RNAcentral
GACAGUCUGGCCGAAUGAUCUAAGGCGCUGGCAUAAGCCGCCAAUCCGAAGGGCGUGGGUUCGAACCCCACAGCUGUUA